This is a non-coding RNA of Struthio camelus australis, 1088 nucleotides long. Lineage: Eukaryota; Metazoa; Chordata; Aves; Struthioniformes; Struthionidae. The record is from RefSeq and is a predicted model, not a curated record.
GGUAUCCCAAAAGGUUUAUCAGUGUUGCGUGUGUUGCAUUAUUUAUUUGAAGCCUGUCGAUGUGAAAGUCCAAAGCUGUGGAGCGGAAGUCAAGGAUCUGGACUUGGAGAACCAGCCAUCCCUCCUGACACAGAAACAGCUUGGCUGAUAAUUUUAGACUUUGGUCGUAAGGCCACCAGGUUUUUCGUAUUACAGACCUACUUGAAAGAUGAACUGAGAUAGGACUCUGCAAUGAUGGUUUCAGAUCUGACCAGCAGGUGAGAAACAAGAUGAAGCCCAAGGAUGGCAGUGUGGCUCUUCCUAGAAUUACAUCUGCUAGCAAGCUCAGAACAGACAUCGUCCUCAGCAAGGGUUUUUCCAUUUCUUAGAGCUACAAAAUCUCUGGGAAGAUUGACUAUACAGUUACAGGAAAAUGAUGAAGAAGAUUUGUCUCUGGACGGAAAGACACCAUUGCAACACUUUGAUGAAUCUAUUGACUGUAUGUUUAGUAUUAUGUCUUUUUGCUUUCAUUAAUUCAAUUUUGUUUCAGAAUAUGAAAGAAAUUUGUAUACUUAUGUCUAUAAAUGUGACUGUCUGGAUCAACAAGUCUUUUUAUCCCUCAGUCACAUGUAUUCUGAUCAAGAUAACUUGUUAAGCUUUUCUUAAAAUGAGGUAUUGCUAAUGCUUUGGACAGAGGUUAUAUAGCACAUUCUUUAAUGCAAAUAUCUUUCUCCAUGAUUGUUUUCCACACUGUUAACAUAAAUCAUAUCUAAUAAUCAAAUCUAAUAAUAUCUAUUUAAUUUCACUUCAUUGAGAUCAUCCAUUCUGGUUAACAAUAGGUUUUCAGCAAUGUAGUACGUCAGAAUUUAUCGUAUUCUUAGUAAGUAAAUAAUAUGCAAAGCUAGUAAUAUUCCUUUAAUGUAUAUUUGAAUGGCUGCAUACUUUCAUAACUUUCUUACCAUUCUCACCAAGUAGACAAAUAAACACUCAUUCUUUAAAGAGGCUUCUAAAAGCUUUUGAAAUUUUAAUUACACAUUUAGUGGAUUUAUUCAUUCUGUUAGUAUUCCACAGCUGAAGUAAAGAAAAUUAACAACUGUAGAAAAAAAUAG